RNAcentral lists this ribosomal RNA (544 nucleotides) under uncultured bacterium. Its description in RNAcentral is "bacterial SSU rRNA". It matches the Rfam family "Bacterial small subunit ribosomal RNA", at positions 777 to 1319 of the family's 1533-position model. The record is from RNAcentral.
AAUAGAUACCCUGGUAGUCCACGCCGUAAACGAUGAGUGCUAAGUGUUGGGGGGUUUCCGCCCCUCAGUGCUGCAGCUAACGCAUUAAGCACUCCGCCUGGGGAGUACGGUCGCAAGACUGAAACUCAAAGGAAUUGACGGGGGCCCGCACAAGCGGUGGAGCAUGUGGUUUAAUUCGAAGCAACGCGAAGAACCUUACCAGGUCUUGACAUCCCGGUGACCACUAUGGAGACAUAGUUUCCUCUUCGGGGGCAACGGUGACAGGUGGUGCAUGGUUGUCGUCAGCUCGUGUCGUGAGAUGUUGGGUUAAGUCCCGCAACGAGCGCAACCCUUAUUCUUAGUUGCCAUCAUUCAGUUGGGCACUCUAAGGAGACUGCCGGUGAUAAACCGGAGGAAGGUGGGGAUGACGUCAAAUCAUCAUGCCCCUUAUGACCUGGGCUACACACGUGCUACAAUGGACGGUACAAACGGUUGCCAACCCGCGAGGGGGAGCUAAUCCGAUAAAACCGUUCUCAGUUCGGAUUGUAGGCUGCAACUCGCCUAC